GGAUGUGAGGGCUAUUUGGCUGUGAUAUCUGUCACCCCAUUGACCAUCAGGUUUGAUUCAGCUGAUCUUACUGGCUAGGAGGGGGUCCCCUUCCUCCCUUCUCUCUCCAUAUGUGUAUUUUUGAAGCUGCAAGCUACUCACUGAGUCAAAGAAGACAACGAUCUUCCAUAGAAGACUAUUUCCUCAAUCAAGGAUAUACAAGUGGCUACUCUCCCAUGCUAGAAUCUCCAAAAAGCGCUCAAGGUGUCACCUCAAAGACUAAUCCUCCCCAGUGUCUUAAGAUCAUAUUUCCCAUGCUAGUCUCCAAUUGUUUGAGAAACUUUGCUCCAGGCACUGGAUAGAUCUGUCCUUCUGUGUGU
Unclassified non-coding RNA from Cavia porcellus (domestic guinea pig), 359 nucleotides. Its record names the gene 7SK. It matches the Rfam family "7SK RNA". From Rfam's summary of the family: 7SK was discovered as an abundant small nuclear RNA in the mid-70s but a possible function has only recently been suggested. Two independent studies have found that 7SK RNA binds the CDK9/cyclin T complex (known as elongation factor P-TEFb). P-TEFb activates transcription by phosphorylating the C-terminal domain of RNA polymerase II. Lineage: Eukaryota; Metazoa; Chordata; Mammalia; Rodentia; Caviidae. The record is from Ensembl.